AUUGAACGCUGGCGGCAGGCCUAACACAUGCAAGUCGAACGAGUGGCGGACGGGUGAGUAAUGUCUGGGAAUCUGCCCGCUGGAGGGGGAUAACUACUGGAAACGGUGGCUAAUACCGCAUACCAUCGGAUGAGCCCAGAUGGGAUUAGCUAGUAGGUGGGGUAACGGCUCACCUAGGCGACGAUCCCUAGCUGGUCUGAGAGGAUGACCAGCCACACUGGAACUGAGACACGGUCCAGACUCCUACGUGAGGCAGCAGUGGGGAAUAUUGCACAAUGGGCGCAAGCCUGAUGCAGCCAGGCCGCGUGUAUGAAGAAGGCCUUAGGGUUGUAAAGUACUUUCAGCGAGGAGGCGUUACUCGCAGAAGAAGCACCGGCUAACUCCGUGCCAGCAGCCGCGGUAAUAC
RNAcentral lists this ribosomal RNA (406 nucleotides) under uncultured bacterium. Its description in RNAcentral is "partial 16S ribosomal RNA". It matches the Rfam family "Bacterial small subunit ribosomal RNA", at positions 30 to 526 of the family's 1533-position model. The record is from RNAcentral.